AACUGUUCUGGUGGUCUAGUGGUCAGAGUGUCCGCCACAGGAAGUGGGAGGCCAUGGGUUCGAUCCCCAGCUGAGUCA
Non-coding RNA from Potamilus streckersoni, 78 nucleotides. The record is from the annotation of a GenBank genome assembly. Lineage: Eukaryota; Metazoa; Mollusca; Bivalvia; Unionida; Unionidae.